RNAcentral lists this ribosomal RNA (432 nucleotides) under uncultured Streptococcus sp. RNAcentral describes it as "bacterial SSU rRNA". It matches the Rfam family "Bacterial small subunit ribosomal RNA", at positions 950 to 1382 of the family's 1533-position model. Lineage: Bacteria; Bacillati; Bacillota; Bacilli; Lactobacillales; Streptococcaceae. The record is from RNAcentral.
UUCGUAAGCAACGCGAAGAACCUUACCAGGUCUUGACAUCCCGAUGCUAUUUCUAGAGAUAGAAAGUUACUUCGGUACAUCGGUGACAGGUGGUGCAUGGUUGUCGUCAGCUCGUGUCGUGAGAUGUUGGGUUAAGUCCCGCAACGAGCGCAACCCCUAUUGUUAGUUGCCAUCAUUCAGUUGGGCACUCUAGCGAGACUGCCGGUAAUAAACCGGAGGAAGGUGGGGAUGACGUCAAAUCAUCAUGCCCCUUAUGACCUGGGCUACACACGUGCUACAAUGGUUGGUACAACGAGUUGCGAGUCGGUGACGGCGAGCUAAUCUCUUAAAGCCAAUCUCAGUUCGGAUUGUAGGCUGCAACUCGCCUACAUGAAGUCGGAAUCGCUAGUAAUCGUGGAUCAGAAUGUCACGGUGAAUACGUUCCCGGGCCUU